CCACAUGUGGGAAGGGGCGAGUGACAGUGUCGCAGGGACCCAAGCAGUAGUCUGGACCUUGUCAGCUGCAAGGUCCGACCUGCUUUGUGACUUUAGCAAGAUGCUCACCCUCUCUGAGCCUGUGUCCUCAUCU
This is a microRNA precursor of Equus asinus (donkey), 133 nucleotides long. The record is from Ensembl. NCBI's taxonomy places the organism in Eukaryota, Metazoa, Chordata, Mammalia, Perissodactyla, Equidae.